UACGUAGGGGCCUAGCGUUGUCCGGAUUUAUUGGGCGUAAAGAGCUCGUAGGCGGCUUGGUAAGUCAGGUGUGAAAUCUCCACGCUCAACGUGGAGGGGCCACCCGAAACUGCCAUGGCUUGAGUCCGGUAGGGGAGUGUGGAAUUCCCGGUGUAGCGGUGAAAUGCGCAGAUAUCGGGAGGAACACCCGUAGCGAAGGCGGCACUCUGGGCCGGUACUGACGCUGAGGAGCGAAAGCGUGGGGAGCAAA
RNAcentral lists this ribosomal RNA (250 nucleotides) under uncultured bacterium. RNAcentral's name for it is "partial 16S ribosomal RNA". It matches the Rfam family "Bacterial small subunit ribosomal RNA", at positions 524 to 772 of the family's 1533-position model. The record is from RNAcentral.